Molecule: long non-coding RNA, 322 nt
Filed under: Homo sapiens (human)
Lineage: Eukaryota; Metazoa; Chordata; Mammalia; Primates; Hominidae
Description: non-protein coding lnc-MME-6:1
Source: RNAcentral
GAUAGGAGAAUAUAUGGGUUUGGCACCAUGGUGUGGAUAGGCAAAACAAUUUGGUUGAUAAGGUGCAGAUCCUGAAAUAACCUAUAAGCCUCAUCUGGUUUUAGGACAGGUAAAAUGGGGGAAUUGUAGGGAGAGUUUAUAGGCUUUAAAAGGCCAUGCUGUAGCAGGCGAGUGAUAACAGACUUUAAUCCUUCUAAAGUGUGCUGUGGGAUGGGAUAUUGGCAUUGAGCAGGGUAAGGGUGAUUAGUUUUUACUGAGGGUUAUUGGGGUAGGGGCGAUGUUUCUCAGGGCUGCUUCAAGCAUGACUUAGGGGUGGCAUGGG